This 515-nucleotide ribosomal RNA is filed under the name uncultured bacterium. Its description in RNAcentral is "partial 16S ribosomal RNA". It matches the Rfam family "Bacterial small subunit ribosomal RNA", at positions 28 to 523 of the family's 1533-position model. The record is from RNAcentral.
GAUGAACGCUGGCGGCGUGCCUAAUACAUGCAAGUCGAGCGAAUGGAUUAAGAGCUUGCUCUUAUGAAGUUAGCGGCGGACGGGUGAGUAACACGUGGGUAACCUGCCCAUAAGACUGGGAUAACUCCGGGAAACCGGGGCUAAUACCGGAUAACAUUUUGAACCGCAUGGUUCGAAAUUGAAAGGCGGCUUCGGCUGUCACUUAUGGAUGGACCCGCGUCGCAUUAGCUAGUUGGUGAGGUAACGGCUCACCAAGGCAACGAUGCGUAGCCGGCCUGGGAGGGUGAUCGGCCACACUGGGACUGAGACACGGCCCAGACUCCUACGGGAGGCAGCAGUAGGGAAUCUUCCGCAAUGGACGAAAGUCUGACGGAGCAACGCCGCGUGAGUGAUGAGGGCUUUCGGGUCGUAAAACUCUGUUGUUAGGGAAGAACAAGUGCUAGUUGAAUAAGCUGGCACCUUGACGGUACCUAACCAGAAAGCCACGGCUAACUACGUGCCAUCAGCCGCCGUAA